Long non-coding RNA from Sapajus apella (tufted capuchin), 102 nucleotides. RefSeq lists it as uncharacterized. The transcript is spliced from 3 exons. The record is from RefSeq and is a predicted model, not a curated record. NCBI's taxonomy places the organism in Eukaryota, Metazoa, Chordata, Mammalia, Primates, Cebidae.
ACUUGCUAAGCCCUACUGCCAACACCUGCCCAAAGUCAGUUCAAAUUUUGUGGAAAAAUACAACUGCAAUGGGCAAUUUUGUGUGUCUGUGUGUGAGUGUGU